This 90-nucleotide transfer RNA is filed under the name Xylaria acuta. Its description in RNAcentral is "tRNA-Trp". It matches the Rfam family "tRNA". From Rfam's summary of the family: Transfer RNA (tRNA) molecules are approximately 80 nucleotides in length. Lineage: Eukaryota; Fungi; Ascomycota; Sordariomycetes; Xylariales; Xylariaceae. The record is from RNAcentral.
GGACCCGUAACUCAGUGGUAGAGUAUCUGAUUCCAGCUCGUUUGGAAAACAGCAUCCAGAAGGUCAUCCGUUCAAGUCGGGUCGGGUUCA